CAGUCAAUUGUAAGGAGCACAGUUCUGGAACCACAGCUUCUGGGGAAGGAGGAGUCCUAUCUGUCGUAUCUACCAGCAACCCUCGACGUUAUCGAGAGAGAGUCUAGGAAUUCAAUUUGUCAUUGGAAGAAUCUUCUGGAAGGAGAGAGGACAGUAGACAAGAGGCCCCGGUUUUCCUGUCAGAGAUCUCUGAGAAUAUUUGAGGGCCCCCUGCACAAGCGAUAUGAGACUGCCUGCCUUGUGUGAGCCUUGGAUGAGCCCUGCAGCUCCUUCGAGAUGCUCCUUGGAUAUUCCUGAUGGAGAAGACCAACCCCGAGGAAGCUUGGUCCUGCUUGCGAUGAGCUUGCUGUGCUUUCACGGACACCCUUCGUUUCUUCUACCAGUUUUCAGUGCCAGGGUGCGCUUGAAAGGAGAGCUGAUGCCAGGGCUAUAGCCUUCCCCAGCCAGAGCAUGUGGGCCAAACCCUUUCUGGAUGGCUAGGCAGUGGGGAGAAGCCAUGAGAUGGUUGAGAAGUAGUCACAACUCCCCUGGGGACAGACUGGUUUUCAGGGUUACAUCCAUUCAAAAACACCCCCCGGAAUUCAGGCUUGUGAAAGACAAGCUAACUUGACCCUGUUCCUUUGUUCUCACUGAGGUCCUGUCCCUGGCAUCCCCUUCCUCCUGUGGACACCACUGAGGUGCAGACACUACCCCGAUGGGGCUUCCCGUCCUGCUGUUCGGCUCUGGAAGAGACUUGAUUCCUUUUCUUUUUGUGCUGGUGGAGAUCACACACAAAAGGGAUGAUGCCGGUGGCGGACAGGAAGCCCAGCUCCUGCCGCCUGGAUGACUCUUCCCUUGGUGGGGACCAAUCCUGGAUGGAAUCAGUUCAAGAUGGAUGCCAGCUUCAUACAAGAGCCCUAUCAGGAUUGGCCUGAGAGAGAAGUGCUAUCAGCUACUAAAAGUGAAUACUAAAUGGCCUAUCUAUGUCAGAGGGAAGCCCAAAGCCCAGGAAGAAAUGAUGGACCAGAAACAACAGGACAUGCUCGUAAGGAAGACUUGCUGCAUGGUGGAUGGCCCAGAGACGGCGGGGCUCACAGAUGGUCACGUUUAGUGCUUGCAGAUUGGUAAUGCCUGUGCCCUUGGCUUUGUUUAUUCUGGUCAACCAGUUGUCAGUGCUGCCAUCGAGGGCUUUCUGGACAGCAUGGCACCUUCCGUAAGGAGACCUUGGCUUCAGUAGCUAGUCCAGAGAUGAGACAGUGGGAGUGGAGGAUCACCUGGGAUCAUGUAGAGCUCAAUGAACCUUCUCUUGAUUCAUAUGAGGAUGCUAGUAGCCUUGGUUGGGCUUUUCUGCAGUGGGACUUUUAUAGUCCCCUCAGGACCUUGAUGUGACUAACCAUAUGUGCACCAUUGAGAAAUGCAAGUCCCCAUUCACAUACCCCAGGGUCUAUAUACCUGCAGAGGACUUCUGACCUACAGCAAGUGGGCUCCCUUCUCAUCUUGAAAACCUUCCAGUGUGAACUCUAGAACCAAGGAAGACAGAGAAAGGGGACAAUGUCAGCAUCGUUGCAAGGGAGUACCAAAUGCUACCUCUAAGGAUUUCCUGGACAUGAUGGCAACUUGCAGAAAGAUGGCGGUUCAGUCAAGCUGGUAGAGAAGCCAAGUAUGGAUGUUUGGCCACGGACAGUGUGCUUGAGCUAGCUGUAAGUCACCUGGUCGGGUUACCUGAGCAUCUGAUCCACCUGUAGGCCUCUCAUCAGUGGGCCGUGCCAACCUUGGUGAGGCAGCUGUGGCUCUGCCCCCAAGUAUCAGCUUACAAGACUUUGAAAAGAGGUCAUCUUCCGGAAGAGAUGUUGGUGCCAGCACCAUUCAGGGUGUGUGACUGGUUGACCAGAGGGGCGUGCACUCUGUUCACCCUGUGGGCCACCUAGUCACCAACCCUCAGCAUCAAUUCCACUCAAAGAAGACUUUCCAGAGAUCCUACCAAGUUUGGGGAUAUGUCAAUGGACUUGAUGGCUGUGCCUGCUCAGUGGACCAGGAUGAACUGUGGUCUUAGGGGUGUAUGUUUACAUAAGAUGCCAUGAGGCAUCCGUGGUAGCUGCUGCAUCACUGUCACAGCCUCCUUGAAAUGUUGACUUCAGAUGUGGACAUGAUGUUGACUUCCCAUGAGGGACCUGAAGUCCCUUCUCUCCUGGGAGAGUCUGUGAGAUGAUACCAACCUCUAGAAGCAGGCAUGGUUGUCCCGACAUCGCCACACUACCACAGGAGCUUCCAGAAUACAUUCUCUUCAUGGAAACUGUGGAACCACGCCCCCUCUGGUCCAGGAGGACUAACCAGAUUCAAGGCUAUCACCAUCCCCCUUCAGGACAGUGGAAGCAGCCACCUUUUCGAGAGAGUCGAUGUGUUCUUCACCAGUGUUCUUCGCCAGUGAUCAUGUGUGAUACUUGGAGAGAGGCUGGCCGUGAUGAAUUCGAUUCAUCUAAACGAGUCAUACACGGCUCUCCUCUCUUCUAGUGUCAAACUCUGCCUCAGAGGUCUUCUCAAGCCACUACUGUUCCCAAGGAUGCCUAAUUGCAAUGCCAGCUUCUGGGGUGAACAUGGACCCACUGUCAUCGGGCAAGGUCUAGGAUGGACAUGGAGACCCACCAUCUGGGAGAUUCCAGAGUGGACGUGAACCCACCAUCAUCAGAGAGCUUCAUGGAGUAUUCAGAAGCUGGCGGGUGUCACCUGGAGGAUGUGACUGGGUACCAGUGCCAGAGCACGUGCCCACUGAGCAGUCUUCUUCACUUUCCUCGAUCCUCAUGAAACAUUCCGGGAUCUUUACCUCAAAGGACUCCAGAGGCUACAUCAUUGUCUUGGAACUGGUCAGUGGCUGGAGCUCUCUCCAGGACAAGUGCUUGGAGGAAGAACCUGGACAAGCUUCCCUCCCUAUACUGUUGACUGGAUCUUGUAGCUACCGUUAGCCACCAUCAUCGCCAUUGUGUGCCUCUUAGGAGCAUUUCCAGGAGGUGAUGCCAGCUGGGGAAAGAGCCUCUGUCCCACAGCCGUCGGUGCCCGCUGCAGCCUGCGCCCAGGAUGUCACAGCCUCAGCUCAACACCUCUGCUGGACAGCUUCAGGUGGUGAUUCCAGCUCCAGGGUUGCUGCGGUCAACACUGGGUACUUGAGGAGAGGUUGUCUGUGAUGAGUUCGCUUUAUUAAUGACGAAUAUAACACAGAUGGCCUGUUUUCAAUACCACCUGCCACUCCGGUCACUCGGCAGUACAUACCAGGUGUCACACCACUGCCCGGCAGGUGACAACGCUGAAUUGGUCCUCAGGAGCGGAUGUUCAAGGAACCCUGCCUAUGCACCAUGCUAGCUGCCAGUCCUAGGUUGGGACAUUCCACUGGGGACAUCCAUGGGAGAGCUAUGGCCAUUAACAAGUCCUGAGCCCUGACCUGAAGCCAUCAGUGGCCUAGCUGCUCUACCUGACUUUGUGGCCUCCCUUCCUGGAUCUCUCGCUUACGACAACCGACAACAAAGAUGUUUGACUCCAGAAGAUGCUCCCCGCGGCCCACCUGAGAGGACUGUCCACACCCCACCCCACUGCGCCCUGUGCCAUCUACCUCUGAGUCCCCAACUUCUCACCCAUGUUUCAACUCCCACCCCAGAGCCUUGUAUUCCAGAUCUGAGCAGCCCUUGCUUAGGAACCUGAGGUGGGGGGUGGGUAGGCAGACCCAGGGGACUGAGCAGGGAGGGGAAGGAGGGGUUUCUGCUCUUGGCUUUCAAAGUUCUCAGUGUGUGUAGCCCUUUGAAUAAUAAACAUAUGUCAUAUAAUGUAAAAAAAAAAAAAAAAAAA
This 3813-nucleotide long non-coding RNA is filed under the name Mus musculus (house mouse). The record is from RNAcentral. Lineage: Eukaryota; Metazoa; Chordata; Mammalia; Rodentia; Muridae.